RNAcentral lists this signal recognition particle RNA (300 nucleotides) under Callithrix jacchus (white-tufted-ear marmoset). Its description in RNAcentral is "Metazoan signal recognition particle RNA (ENSCJAG00000081226.1)". It matches the Rfam family "Metazoan signal recognition particle RNA". From Rfam's summary of the family: The signal recognition particle (SRP) is a universally conserved ribonucleoprotein. It is involved in the co-translational targeting of proteins to membranes. Lineage: Eukaryota; Metazoa; Chordata; Mammalia; Primates; Cebidae. The record is from Rfam by way of RNAcentral.
GCCAGGUGAGGUGGCAUGUGCCUGUAGUCCUAGCUACUUGGGAGGCUGAGGUUGGAGGAUUGCUUAAGCCCAGGAGUUCUGGGAUGUAGCGCACUAUGCCGAUUCGGUGUCCACACUAAUUUCGGCAUCAAUAUGGUGACCUCUCAGGAGCGGGGAACCACUAGGUUGCCUAAGAAGGGGUGAACCGGCCCAGGUCGGAAACAGAGCAGGUCAAAACUCCAGUGCUGAUCAGUAGUGAGAUCGCGCCUGUGACUAGCCGCUGCACUUCAGCCUGGGCAGCAUAGUGAGACCCUGACUCUU